Molecule: ribosomal RNA, 253 nt
Filed under: uncultured bacterium
Lineage: Bacteria
Description: partial 16S ribosomal RNA
Rfam family: Bacterial small subunit ribosomal RNA
Source: RNAcentral
GACAGAGGUUGCAAACGUUGUUCGGAAUUACUGGGCAUAAAGCGCGUGUAGGCGGUUCGGUAAGUCCGCUGUGAAAGUCGGGGGCUCAACCCUCGGAUGCCGGUGGAUACUGUCGAGCUUGAGUACGGAAGAGGAGAGUGGAAUUCCUGGUGUAGCGGUGAAAUGCGCAGAUAUCAGGAAGAACACCCGUGGCGAAGGCGGCUCUCUGGGACGGUACUGACGCUGAGGAGCGAAAGCGUGGGGAGCGAACAGG